Molecule: ribosomal RNA, 398 nt
Filed under: uncultured bacterium
Lineage: Bacteria
Description: bacterial SSU rRNA
Rfam family: Bacterial small subunit ribosomal RNA
Source: RNAcentral
AGGAAUAUUGGACAAUGGGCGCAAGCCUGAUCCAGCCAUGCCGCGUGAGUGAAGAAGGCCUUCGGGUUGUAAAGCUCUUUUGGCGGGGACGAUGAUGACGGUACCCGCAGAAUAAGCCCCGGCUAACUUCGUGCCAGCAGCCGCGGUAAGACGAAGGGGGCUAGCGUUGUUCGGAAUUACUGGGCGUAAAGGGCGCGUAGGCGGUUUGUUAAGUCAGGCGUGAAAGCCCUGGGCUCAACCUGGGAUGUGCGCUUGAUACUGGCAAGCUUGAGUGCAGGAGAGGAUGGUGGAAUUCCCAGUGUAGAGGUGAAAUUCGUAGAUACUUGGAAGAACACCGGUGGCGAAGGCGGCCAUCUGGACUGCAACUGACGCUGAGGCGCGAAAGCGUGGGGAGCAAA